Non-coding RNA from Podarcis lilfordi (Lilford's wall lizard), 224 nucleotides. The record is from the annotation of a GenBank genome assembly. NCBI's taxonomy places the organism in Eukaryota, Metazoa, Chordata, Lepidosauria, Squamata, Lacertidae.
CCAACAUGGGCAUCCAUUGAGGUGGCUCUCGCAUGGCUCUGCCCAGGUGGCGUAUGGGAGCGUAGCACCGUAUGGGGCAAUGAUGUAUAGUCCUAUUCCACAAUGUUGGACAUGAAGCUUUUCCCCCCCAGACUGAAAAGGCUGGUGUGGGAGGCAUCCUGUAUAUUCCUAUAACUUCCCAGCUUUUACAGUUGUUGUGAAGACAAACCAUGCAGGACACAAGU